AUGCACCGCGCUUCCCGGACUCGGAUGAGCCGGGAUGUCCAUCAGCCUCGGCAGGACCCUGCCAGCACCCGCACGGCCCGUUACCACCGCGGGACUCCCUUGCGUUUUGUUGGUGUCUUGGCCGCUCCUGCUCGUUUGCUCAAUGCCUGCCUGUCUGCUUGUCACCUUGGCCUCCCUCCGCUUGUCCCCUUCUUCCUCGAGCCUUAUUCCCGUCUCCGUCCUUCCUGUGCAUGUGGCCUGCUCCCCUGCCUCUGCCAGCAUCCCCCAGGGUUAGGAGGUGCGGUGUCCCAAGGAAGGGCCGGGAAAGGGGCCUUGGCAAGUGGGACUGAGGACGGGCCACGCAGGAGUGAAGAUGGAGACGGAGGUGGGGGGACCCGGCCCCGAGGGGCGCGGGCAGCCCACACCCGCCCUUGGACUCCUGGCCCCCACCUGUGAGAGCACGGGCUUCUGUGGUUUCAGGCGCCAGUUGUGUUUGUCGCAAGAGCCCCAGGAAGUGAAAACUGCCCCCUUUCCUGCAAGAAGAGGAGGGGCCACCAGGUGGUCCCUGGCCAUCUCCUCACAGGUCCUACAGCCGCCUUCGCGGCUGCCUUUGCAACCACAGCCCGGCAUCUGGCGCUGUGGGAAAACUGUGGCUUCUCGAUCAGCCCCCAGUGAUGUCUGAAUCAUUUCAAAUCGCCUGCCCUUGCCAGCCAGGUGGCACUGAAUAACCCCAAAUAAAGUCUUUGUAAGACACAGGUGCACGUGCAGGGAAAUGCCUGGAGUCACCUAGGAUCACAGGUGAACUCACCUGAGGUUCUGCUCAGAGCUGCCAAGUUGCCCCUUGUGGGGUUGUUCCAUUUUGCACCCUGGGAGGGACUCGGGAAGGAGAUUGCCUUUGGCCCCUCGGCGUUUCUCUUCUUCCCUCUUGGUGUGUAGGUGUGACGGCCGGAGCCCCAGCAGCCUUCUUCUGACCAUAAGGGCUGACACGGAAGCUAAGAAUGGCCGAUGGAACCUGGGUCUCAGGGGACUUUGAGGAGCAGUGUGCCAGCCUAAAAUGGCCCCCCAGGAACUCACUUUAGGGGAGAAGAUAAAUCGCUACUAUAUAAAACCCACAGUACUAGCAGCCAAACCUAGAAGGCACGAGCUUGAGGAAUUUCUCUGGAGGAUGUCACCCGCAGCCCACAGCCUCGGAACCCUCAUGCUGCCCAUCGCUCAGCCCUCGAGAGGCAGGGCACCCCUCUCUGCUGGCUCAGUGCCCCCACCUGAGAGGACAGGUCGUGCAUGGUGCGCUGGGGAGACCAGCCAGCCCUGGGCGCCCUCUGGACACACACACACACACACACACACACACACACACACACACACACACACACACACACACACACACACACACGUGUCCUUUCUGUCCAGCACAGUGAGGGAGGAGCAGGCUCAGGGCAGCAACAGGAACGGCUCGAAGCACAGCCUGAGUGGAGCAGGAAGAUGAUGUUUUGGCUGCCACUCUCUGUGCCCGUGUCCCGUUUCCCAGUUAGCCUCCAGCUCAGAAGCCAGAGGCCCCCAUACUUAACCCUGGGCCCCGGGAGGCAGGCUGUUUCCCCUCCAGAGCGAGGGGCCCCCUCCGCCCUGCACCCUGAGGCUGCCCCAAGGCCACACGGAUCUGGACGCUUGUCUCCUGUGCCCCCCGGAAGCAAUGUGGGGCCCUGGUCGUAAGCAACAGAAACCUGAGCCAAAGGAUGAUUUGGGAAGGAUCAUGAGGCCACGGGCGGCGCAGGCUGGGGACCGAGCCUGGGGAGAUGGGCCUGGCGGGGCG
Molecule: long non-coding RNA, 1789 nt
Filed under: Sus scrofa (pig)
Lineage: Eukaryota; Metazoa; Chordata; Mammalia; Artiodactyla; Suidae
Description: lncRNA (ENSSSCG00055014452.1)
Source: RNAcentral